This 730-nucleotide ribosomal RNA is filed under the name Knufia vaticanii. Its description in RNAcentral is "LSU rRNA". It matches the Rfam family "Eukaryotic large subunit ribosomal RNA", at positions 189 to 937 of the family's 3401-position model. The record is from RNAcentral. Lineage: Eukaryota; Fungi; Ascomycota; Eurotiomycetes; Chaetothyriales; Trichomeriaceae.
CUUGGAACAGAAUGUCAAAGAGGGUGAGAGUCCCGUCUUGGACCGCGGUAGGGCCUGUGUAAAACUCCUUCGACGAGUCGACUUGUUUGGGAAUGCAGGUCAAAAUGGGUGGUAAAUUUCAUCUAAAGCUAAAUAUUGGCCAGAGACCGAUAGCGCACAAGUAGAGUGAUCGAAAGAUGAAAAGCACUUUGAAAAGAGAGUUAAACAGUAUGUGAAAUUGUUGAAAGGGAAGCGCUGGCAACCAGACUCGUGCGCGGGGUUCCCCCUUGCUUCUGCUUGGGUCACUUCCCCGUGUCCGGGCCAUCAUCAGUUUCGGGGGCCGGUCAAAGGCCCUGGGAAUGUAUCCACGCCUUCGGGGGUGGACUUAUAGCCCAGGGUGUCAUGCGGCCACCCGGGACUGAGGAACGCGCUUCGGCGAGGAUGAUGGCGUAAUGGUUGUCAGCGGCCCGUCUUGAAACACGGACCAAGGAGUCUAACAUCUAUGCGAGUGUUCGGGUGUCAAACCCUUGCGCGGAAUGAAAGUGAACGGAGGUAGGAAGGCUUCAGCCUGCACUAUCGACCGAUCCUGAUGUCUUCGGAUGGAUUUGAGUAAGAGCAUAGCUGUUGGGACCCGAAAGAUGGUGAACUAUGCGUGAAUAGGGUGAAGCCAGAGGAAACUCUUGUGGAGGCUCGCAGCGGUUCUGACGUGCAAAUCGAUCGUCAAAUUGCGUAUAGGGCGAAAGACUAAUCG